GUGCAGCAGGCGCGAAAACUCCGCAAUGCGCGAAAGCGUGACGGGGUUACCCCGAGUGCCGUCCGCUGAGGAUGGCUUUUAUCCAGCGUAAGGAGCUGGGAGAAUAAGGGGAGGGCAAGUCUGGUGUCAGCCGCCGCGGUAAUACCAGCUCCCCGAGUGGUGGGGACGAUUAUUUGGCCUAAAGCGUCCGUAGCUGGCUCAGUAAGUCUUCGGUUAAAUCCGACGAUUCAAUCGCUGGACUGCCGGAGAUACUGUUGGGCUAGGGGGCGGGAGAGGCUGACGGUAGUCUCGGGGUAGGGGUGAAAUCCUAUAAUCCCGGGAAGACCACCAGUGGCGAAGGCGGUCGGCUAGAACGCGCCCGACAGUGAGGGACGAAAGCUGGGGGAGCGAACCGGAUUAGAUACCCGGGAGUCC
This 414-nucleotide ribosomal RNA is filed under the name uncultured crenarchaeote. RNAcentral describes it as "partial 16S ribosomal RNA". It matches the Rfam family "Archaeal small subunit ribosomal RNA", at positions 330 to 747 of the family's 1478-position model. Lineage: Archaea; Thermoproteati; Thermoproteota. The record is from RNAcentral.